AUAACUGGGGUGCUCGCUCCAGAGAUCUGUGUUCGUGCAGAGAAAAGACUUCAUAGCUGCCUAUUUAUGAGAUGGUGUGGGAGGAACGUCUGAAGAAACAGAUGCAGGCUCUCUUCUCCAAAGAGAAAAUUGGAUGAAGAACGAAAAUGACCUCGAUGAACAGGGGAAUAUCAUAGGAACCUGUUCCUUGGAGGCAGAGAGGAGGAAUACAUACACGUAGAUAAGGGCUGUGUGCGAAAGUUGAGUAUUGUUCUUUGGGGAAUUUCAGUGCAUCAAAGGAGCCUGAUAUCAGACCUGGAUUAACAUCAGAAGAAAGGUUUUCUGAGGAAAAGAAGUAAGAGAGGGUGAGAGAUUUAUCUGGGCAGGAGAAGCAAUUUUUGACCCCACCUCUGCACCGUGGAUGGGUUUCGGACAUCCCUUUGGAUCCGCUGCCUUUCAGGCAGGCCGCUCCGCGAGGCUCCAGCAAUUAAGGAUGGUGUUGAGGAACGAGCUGGGCAGGAAUUGUUCUGGUGGAGAGAACCCUGCUGUGCAGCCUGGCUGGUAGGACCCAAUGCCCACCAUUGCCAACAGCAUCCCAGAGUGGGGACAGGUGCUCACUCCAUGGGAUGAGCGCUGGUAACUCCUGGAGCACAUAUCUCUCCUGGAAAUACUUUGCCUAGAAAGUGCCUUUCUCUUCAUGGCUGUGUUAUUUGGUGGCAUUUUGCUGAGCCUAAGGGCUAAUACCUUCAGAUCCUGCUUUCCAACAGCCCUGCUUGGUAAGCCAGAGUUCCCAGCGCGGAUUUGUACAUGGAUGUGCAGAGCUGCAGGCAGGGCAGAGGUAUUUCUCCCGGCACUUGGUGCCAUUUGUUCCUUCUCACACAGCAAUCAGUUCCUUUCUGUAGUUUUUGCUGCCUUGUCACUUCUUUAGCUCUGUCCCCACGUUUAGUCUACGGCCAGCUACAAAAAGUGAACAGUACUCAGUCCAGGAUCAGGGGAAAACCCUUGAGCAACCUCCUUCCAGCCCGGUACUUCCUUGAUGUGUGCAACUCCUGGUUCUUCCAUCUCAUCUAUCUAGCUGUCACACCUCCAAGCCCACUUUGCCAGUAAUUAUGAUUGCUCACUUGUGAUAAUUUUGCUUAAGCAAUAGAUUGGGCAGAGGAUCAUCAGAGCCCAUCCCUUCUUGGGACAAGGAUGGGUGUAAGAGGUAGCAGGCUGGCUCUCGGGCAGAUAAGCAGCAUGUUUAGGCUGCUGGAGUUCCUGGAUUUUGACGUGUUAUUCUCUUUCUACUUUAUGUAGUUUAUUUUCUCAACUGCUCUUCUGCAGAAGGCACCACGUUUGUAAGAACAGCAAAUCCUUUCUCAGCCUCUUCUCUUAGAUGACAGUCAUACUCUUCUCCAUUAAAUAUGAUGGUCUAUGGCGGGAUUCAAGCUGGAUUCUCCCUCUGGAUUUCUAUUCCAAGCUUUCAAAUGGUGAUGUACAAAGGUAGAAGUGUCCCCAGAGCUCUGUGCAGGAGGAUGGCACCUGAGAGGACCCACCAAUUUACUGUCAUAACUGGUAGGAUCUUGUGUUGUGUCAUUCCUGGCAAUACUUGAUUGUGGGGAGACACUCUUCAUGGUGAUGUACGUAGGUUGCUCCGAAAGUAAUGCCUUCUAGUGAUUUCCAUGGAAACUACAAGAGCUACAAAGAGUGCAAUAACGCUGCUUGAUGAAUUCUCAGCUACAAAACACUGUUUUUCAGUGCAGCCACCAUGUUAGCCAUGCAUUUUUGCCAGUGAUGGACAAGAGCCUGUGUGCCACUCUUGUAAUUAUCUGCACCUGUGGAGGUGACCCCACAGUUUCACAGCAACAGCACUGUGCUGGGAAUAUGCUGCCCUCAAAGUCCUUUUUUCGUUGGUCUGAACAGGUGGAAGUCAGAAGGAGCCAAAUCUGGAAUGUACAGUGGCUGUGGUAGGAGAGCCCAGCCGGAAUUGGUUGGGGCCUGGCAUUGUCCUCUUCUCUGGCCCUACUGUAGUUCAGGCAUCAUUUUAGUCAGUGCUGUGAUGUAGCAGGCAGGGUUGAUGCAGGAUGGCCAUCACGCGGCUGCUGCAUAAGGGUGGUUUUGUCUGACUUUUGUCCUGAGGAGCCGAGCAGCAGCGAAGGGCUCCGGCAGAGCCCCCAGCGGAGGGCAGCCGCUCCGCAGUCCGCAGCGCCCUCUGCUGCAAAGCCAGCCAGCAAAGGGGCUGUCGGUCAGGCUAAAGGCAACGGCCGGGUCUUCGUGCUCACAGAGCGACCAAAGGGAGCGAGAGCAUCCAGAAACUAUGGACAGAAAAUGGAAAAGAGAUCAGCCCAUAGGAAAGCCUGAAAAACGGGGUGCAGCUGCAGCUGCUUUGGAGGAGUCAGGGAAGCCCGGUUGCUCAUAAUUACCUUCGUUUCUGCAUAAGGGGGCUGGAAGAGGCAGAGGGCCUUGGCUGUGGGGCAGCUGGGGCUGCAGGGGUGGGUACAAAGCUGGGGUGCACCAAAUUUCUCAGUGUCCUGUAGUUCAGGUCUGCUGAGAUGCAGCACAGCAACGUGAAUGGCAAAGAGAAAGCUCCCAAAUGGAAGGGAGACAGUAUACAGCUCUUAGCAGAAGGGAUGGGGAGGACUGAAUUCUUCAGUACAGUUGCUUCAGCCCUGCAAGGAUUCGUUUAGAAGUUGGCAAAGUGGAGCCUGUGAAACCUGGUGGGCUGAGGGGCUGAGUUUGCAAAGGUGUCGUGGCCAGAUGUCACAGGUCACAGCUCUGCAACUGGAUGGUGAUAGGACAAGAGGGAAUGGUUUUAAACUGAGACAGAGGAGGUUUAGGUUGGAUAUUAGGAGGAAGUUUUUCACACAGAGGGUGGUGAUGCACGGGAACAGGUUGCCCAAGGAGGCUGUGGAUGCCCCAUCCCUGGAGGCAUUCAGGGCCAGGCUGGAUGUGGCUCUGGGCAGCCUGGUCUGGUGGUUGGCGACCCUGCACAUAGCAGGGGGUUGAAACGAGUUGACCAUUGUGGUCCUUUUCAACCCAGGCCAUUCUAUGAUUCUGUCUUGCAAAUGCUUAAUGCAGAGCUUGGGUACUUCAGGCACAGCACCAAGAUCCUGUGCAUUUAGGAAUCUUAAUGUGCUGCUGCUCAGAUGUAAUACACUUCCAAAGGAAGUCUCUCCCAUCUUUAUUCAGUGCCUGGGACACCAGAGGCUCAGCUCUGAGUGCUCACUGCUGGACACAGGGAAACAAUACCACUUCAGUGGGAUGUAAAGGAGCAGUACAGCUGGCUCUGAACUUUUCUAACAACCCCUUGUUUAUGUUGUAAUGCCUAUGGGACAAAGAGUGCACUGAUAGUAUUUCUUCUUCUUUUCCCCUGAGAAUAACAGAGCCACCAGGAGAAAGGCCCACAUAAGCACUGCUCACUGGGACACAUGGAGACAUCAAAGCCUCCAGACACUGAUCCUCCACCUCAGCUCCUGAAGACAGAGCAGCACCGAAACAAGAGCUUGUAUUCAUGCAGACCACAACCAGCACAUCUGCAGAUUAGUGGGACAGCAUCUUUGAAAAGAAUAAGCUUUGGAAUUCAGGAUGUCUGUAUCAGAGGCCUGCAUUUCCGCUCCUCCCUGAAAGCAUCCAACAAGGAUGACAGCCAGCAUGCUCACCAAGUUUCUUCAAGUAAGAAGUGAUUGAUUCUAGGCCAUAAGGUUUGAGAAGACCUCUGUUAUCAUUGAGUCCAACCACUGAUCCAUGGCCACCAUGCCCAAUAAGCCAUAUCCCCAAGUGUCACACCUCCAUGGAUGGUGACACCACCCCUUCCCAGCUUGGUCCAGUGCUUUGCUGCUCUUUCAGAGAAGAAUGAUUAAACGCCAUCUGAAAUGCAAGCAGUGCAUGCCUUGGUUCAUCGCCUCUGCUUGGCUCAUCCACAGGCUCAGCUUGGCCAUGAAAAAUGGGGACAGAUACCCUGCACAUGCUGUCUGCUUGAGAUUUAUGCCAGUGAGUGCCUGGUAAAAAAUAAAAGAGUCCCAGGAGAGCUCACAGAACAGUCAAGCAUGUGUGCUGCUGCACAUACAGGGGGGAAUCUAGGAGUUAAAAUACCCUGCAACCACUCCUUUCCCUUCUCUCCCCAUUCCAAGGGAGAAAAGCCACUGAGUGUUAAAACAGCAAUACUCAAACAUCACAUUUCCCACACAUAAAGGUGUGUUUCGAACAAAGGGCUCGUGAAAGGAAAAAUAUGUAAAGCUAGACACCACAGGAAGCACUGGGAAGCUUCAAGUCCCAUGAACAGAGUAAGAUUAAACAUUUUUCCCAAAUAAUUAUUGUCAGUUGUACAUCACACAGUACCUGUUUUUCAGAACAGCCUGAAAACCCGUCCCGAAUGCUGAUGGUGUCCACAUGUUCAGUGCAAGCUAGAUCUGCUCCCACCAAGACAAACCCAAGCAGAUGAAGCCUUCAGUUCCCACCUAGGAAGCAACCUCCUGUUCACCUCACAUUGCAGAAGAUGAAAGGAAUCUAAUCUCAAACACAUGAGGGAGAUGCUAUUAUACAGAAGUAAACAUCUGGCAUUUCUAAAGCCCUUUACUUCAGAAAACCUUGAAGGGGUUUCUAGAUACUUACAAACUACAUUCAGCAAUGAUUGCUAGUAUUCUACAAAAGAAUUAAUUGAAAAAGCAGAAUCAACUUACUGAACGUCAAGCAAUGACCACUGCAGUAAGGUAACGUCCCUGCUAAGGUCACACUGCAUCUGCCCUUAUUGCUGCCUUCAAACUACAUCACUACAGGGAAUUUAGCUGUCUCCUAUUACCGUAGUAAAUUACAGCUUAAAAAUAUGGAGGGUGAACUUCAGGCUUGAGAUUUCAACUGAUUGUCCAAACAGCAAAAGAGAACAGAAUCAUAAAGCAAAGAAUGCUGGCAGAAAGUUUUGUGGCCAGCACAGGUAUUUCAGUGGUCUAUCCCAUGUGCAGCCUCUGGGAAGCAGAGAAAACACUGAGAGCUCAGAGCCGUUUUAUGGAGGUUGCAUAGAGCUCCAUUGAGCUGAAAUGGAACUACUGCCUUCCUUACCAUAAAAGCCAAAGGCUUUCAAUCUGCCCUUUGUACUGGGAUGAAUAAUUCAUUGCAGGCUCGGCCAACCCGAACAGCUCCCUCCCCUCCAAGCAAGGCAGGGCUGAGAGUCCAUUCAAGUUGAUACAAGCAUUGAAAUACAGGGGAAGAAACGUGUGGUGCGGGGCAGGCGGGACGGUGUGUAAAUGGACGUCGCAGUUUCUUGGGAUUUCUUUCUUACAGGAAUAUGGGAUACAAAAAGAACCUCAUGUUUUUGUAAUGGAAAAGAAAACAGAACCAAAGAAAACACCCCGUGCCUCACUCAUCAGAGGGACGAACUGAAACCCCAAGGAAUAUGAAGUCCUUUUUUUUCCCAGGGAAGCUGAAAAAGCAAACAAGUUAUGCAAAAAAGGAGAAAUCAGUUUGGCAAAGUUCUGCAAGGCACUCUGACUGUACUUAGUUCAAUCAGUACAGCCUGUCUAACUCAAUUGCAUAAGCCACAUCAGUCACUUUGCAACUAUUUAUGCUUAGAAGCCACUGAUGACAUUUUUAAUGUUUGAUGUACCGUAAGAGUAAACUCAAUGCUAGCAGCAGAACUACUGACAAAACUGAAGCAGCUGCCAGACAGGGAGCACAUCACACUUCCAGUGCAUUUAAAACACACGCACUGCUUAUGAGCAAAACCCCCUUCGAUUAGAGGAAGAUCUAUUUUGCAAACCUCAGAUUUCACUUCCAACCACCAGAUUUGUCUCUAAGGAUGCUUAUCAGCUUUAAAAUGAAACAUUAACAUGUUCCUUUCCCAAAAUCAAGUUACCAUUUUAAUAAAAUAGUCCUUUUCCUUUUA
RNA transcript from Gallus gallus (chicken), 5836 nucleotides. RefSeq lists it as uncharacterized. The record is from RefSeq and is a predicted model, not a curated record. The transcript has 4 exons. NCBI's taxonomy places the organism in Eukaryota, Metazoa, Chordata, Aves, Galliformes, Phasianidae.